Molecule: long non-coding RNA, 452 nt
Organism: Spea bombifrons (plains spadefoot toad)
Lineage: Eukaryota; Metazoa; Chordata; Amphibia; Anura; Pelobatidae
Exons: 3
Source: RefSeq, a predicted model, not a curated record
CUCAGAACAUCAGGACCAAAUUAAAGAGCUUCAAUUAAGGAUAAAUAAAGUUAAAAUGCAAAUAAAAACAACAGUAAGAGAUGCUGACGAUAAACAAAAUAAAGCCCUGUUGAAAGAAAGAGACCUUGUGAUGGUCCGUGAAAGAAUAAGGCGUUAUGAACUGAAAAGGGAUAAAAAAUGCUGUACAAAACGAUGGUGUCAAAGAAAAAAAGAUGGAUGUAUCGAGCACAAAGACCAGAAGAAGAGGAAGACUGUAAUGCAGCGAUUGUCCAACAUAUUCUUCUGUUGCAUCAAAGGCUCUGAAAAUUGAACAUUGAAUUAAGAUCGACCCAGAAUUAUUAGGUCUGAUCUUCAGUCCGCUCAUCAUCCAGGAAUGUAUCCACCCGAAAAACUACAGGUCAAUCCCGAAUUCUCCUUCAGUUUUACCAAAUCAUUAAAAUCUUGUUGUUUUU